RNAcentral lists this ribosomal RNA (633 nucleotides) under uncultured archaeon. RNAcentral's name for it is "bacterial SSU rRNA". It matches the Rfam family "Archaeal small subunit ribosomal RNA", at positions 1 to 603 of the family's 1478-position model. The record is from RNAcentral.
UUCGCCCUUUUCCGGUUGAUCCCGCCGGACCCCACUGCUAUCGGGAUGGGACUAAGACAUGCUAGUUGAGCGCUUUCCAGCCAUGUGGGAGGCGCAGCGCACAGCUCAGUAACACGUGGCUAACCUGCCCUUAGGACGAGACCAACCCCGGGAAACUGGGGAUAAUCCUCGAUAGGUGAAGAACUCUGGAAUGAGUCUUUGCCUAAAAGGCGUUGGAUCAUGCUUUCAGCGUCGCCUAAGGAUGGGGCCGCGACCGAUCAGGUUGUUGGUGAGGUAAUGGCCCACCAAGCCUAUAACCGGUGCGGGCCGUGAGGGCGGGAGCCCGGAGAUGGGCACUGGGACAAGGGCCCAGGUCCUACGGGGCGCAGCAGUCGCGAAAACUUUGCAAUACACGAAAGUGUGACAGGGCUAUCCCGAGUGCCAUCCGCUGAGGAAGGCUUUUACCCAGUCUAGAACGCUGGGGGAAUAAGGAGAGGGCAAGUCUGGUGUCAGCCGCCGCGGUAAUGCCAGCUCUCCGAGUGGUGUGGAUGUUUAUUGGGCCUAAAGCAUCCGUAGCUGGCUAAGUUAGUCCUUUGUUAAAUCCACCGAAUUAAUCGUUGGAUUGCGGGGGAUACUGCUUGGCUAGGGGACGAG